UACGAAGGGGGCUAGCGUUGCUCGGAAUCACUGGGCGUAAAGGGUGCGUAGGCGGGUCUUUAAGUCAGGGGUGAAAUCCUGGAGCUCAACUCCAGAACUGCCUUUGAUACUGAGGAUCUUGAGUCCGGGAGAGGUGAGUGGAACUGCGAGUGUAGAGGUGAAAUUCGUAGAUAUUCGCAAGAACACCAGUGGCGAAGGCGGCUCACUGGCCCGGUACUGACGCUGAGGCACGAAAGCGUGGGGAGCAAACAGGG
Molecule: ribosomal RNA, 254 nt
Filed under: uncultured bacterium
Lineage: Bacteria
Description: partial 16S ribosomal RNA
Rfam family: Bacterial small subunit ribosomal RNA
Source: RNAcentral